This 465-nucleotide ribosomal RNA is filed under the name Vreelandella stevensii. RNAcentral describes it as "partial 16S ribosomal RNA". It matches the Rfam family "Bacterial small subunit ribosomal RNA", at positions 338 to 795 of the family's 1533-position model. Lineage: Bacteria; Pseudomonadati; Pseudomonadota; Gammaproteobacteria; Oceanospirillales; Halomonadaceae. The record is from RNAcentral.
CCUACGGGUGGCUGCAGUGGGGAAUAUUGGACAAUGGGGGCAACCCUGAUCCAGCCAUGCCGCGUGUGUGAAGAAGGCCCUCGGGUUGUAAAGCACUUUCAGUGAGGAAGAACGCCUGGUGGUUAAUACCCAUCAGGAAAGACAUCACUCACAGAAGAAGCACCGGCUAACUCCGUGCCAGCAGCCGCGGUAAUACGGAGGGUGCGAGCGUUAAUCGGAAUUACUGGGCGUAAAGCGCGCGUAGGUGGCUUGAUAAGCCGGUUGUGAAAGCCCCGGGCUCAACCUGGGAACGGCAUCCGGAACUGUCAAGCUAGAGUGCAGGAGAGGAAGGUAGAAUUCCCGGUGUAGCGGUGAAAUGCGUAGAGAUCGGGAGGAAUACCAGUGGCGAAGGCGGCCUUCUGGACUGACACUGACACUGAGGUGCGAAGGCGUGGGUAGCAAACAGGAUUAGAUACCCUAGUAGUC